AUGAGUCUUUCUGUGCUGAUCUGCAUGAGAGGUUUCUUAAAGGGAAGUGAAACAAUGUGUGAUGUCCGUCCCACCCUGACGGUGCUGCCCCCCUCCGGUGAGGAGCUGGACCAGGGCAAGGCCACGCUCAUAUGUCUGGCCAACAAGGGCUUCCCCUCAGACUGGAGUCUGGCCUGGAAGGUGGACGGCAGCAGCAGCAGCAGCUUGGAGCAGAGCAGGAGCCCCGCGGUGCUGCAGAAGGACGGCCUCUACAGCUGGAGCAGCACCCUGAGGCUCACUGCAGACCAGUGGAGGAAGGUGGGCUCUGUGACCUGUGAGGCCACCCAGGGCUCCCAGACUCCACUCUCAGAGACUUUGAGGAGAGACCAGUGUCCCCAGUCCUGAUCUGACUUACUGGGACUCUGCUACUGGUUUUACUCUGCUACUGCUCUCACUCUGAUCUCUGCUACUCUUGUUUUUUUCCUCUCUGUCUCUUUAAAUGUUGCAGUAGUGAUGUUUCUUGCUCAGUGAUUUCAAUAUUUCAAGAAAAUAAAGACGUGUUUAUCCAA
Molecule: non-coding RNA, 548 nt
Organism: Scomber scombrus (Atlantic mackerel)
Lineage: Eukaryota; Metazoa; Chordata; Actinopteri; Scombriformes; Scombridae
Source: the annotation of a RefSeq genome assembly